Long non-coding RNA from Columba livia (rock pigeon), 1383 nucleotides. RefSeq lists it as uncharacterized. The transcript is spliced from 3 exons. The record is from RefSeq and is a predicted model, not a curated record. NCBI's taxonomy places the organism in Eukaryota, Metazoa, Chordata, Aves, Columbiformes, Columbidae.
CUCUGUGUUUCAGAUGCUGCUUCCUGGAAAUCUGUAGUGGAGAAUCAAGCACAGAACAGUAGAAUCUGCAUUUGAAUCAUAGAAUCAUCAGGCCAGUACAUAGAAUCAUGUGGCAAGUGAAGAGCUGUGUUUGGGCAUAGGGAAUAGCUGAGGAACAUGGAAAACUGUAGUGUCUUUUUUGAGCAUCACUACUGAGUGAGAAUAUACCAGUGAAUUGAAAUUGCUCUGAGAACCCAGCUGACAGAUGUCAGUGUGGGUUAAGGUAAAAUUGGAGACUGGAAAGCUUGAGCUUGAGACUGGCUUUUGAGGUGCCAGGCUGCUGUGUUGAGUUCUGAGAGAAGGAUGAGAAGGCGUAAGAACUAACAUCUAUCAUCUCCCUGAAAUAUGCCGAUGUGACAGCUUCUUGGGCUGAAAAUGCACGCUUCUGGUAGAAGUCUUCUGACAGGAGAGGCAAGCAGUUUGUCACUUAAAACCAGCACAAAACAAAACUGCCUCAGAAUAUUGUUCUGUGUUGUUGUUUUAUGAAGAAAGUAGGUGGGUUAUUGUUCACAAUUGCUGACUGGACUGUGUUCUGUUGUUUGCAAGCCAGAACAAAAAUUCUUUUGCUUAGUUUAGCCCCUAAAACUCAGAAGUACCCUUAGAAAAUUUACAUUCCAAAGAUUUGCUGUUCAGAGCACUGCUGAAACAAAAUAUUCAAGGUGGAAGUGAAUUAGAAAACUGGCAAUAUCCAUUUAGAAGAAAAUACUAGUAGAACCUUAAUUAUGGAAUGUCUUUUCGCACCUCUGUGCUAGUUUGUACUUCACAGUGCCCUUUAUCCAGGCACCUGGGAGGACUGUUCUAGCAGGAAUUACUUAACCCUCUCUAUGGUAGAAUAAUUCUUCAGGCAGUUGAAGCCCAUAUGCUCUCAUCCAAGUGUUUUCCAGUAGAUGAGUUUUGUGGACCUAAAUAAAAGUAACUUGCUCCUCUGGAGCUUUGUUGUGGUUGUAUGUUUUGAAUGGAUCCGUUUGAUGCAGACUUCUUGUGUUGGGUCCAUUUUGCAGACUAUGUGCCUUACAGGUGAAGUUGAAAUUUUAUUUUUUGUGGUGUUGGUGUGAGUUUUGCCAUGAUGACUGCAGACCUAAUACGAGCAGAAAAGAAAGCUGACAUCAAUAGUUUUUCUGGGUGGUGGUAGCUGAGGUUGAUUAAAAAUAAAUAAAUAAAUAAAAAUCUUCAAUAAUUCUGAUCUGUGUUCUAGAAAAUUGAUUACUUUGUGAGAACCUUAUCAAAAUUGCAUCUUCUAAUUAAACAGCAUGAUGUAAUCUCUCAAAGUGAUUGGGAUGUUCACUGCCUUGUCUUUGUGUUUAUGAACUAUUUCUGAAACUAUUUUCUGACUCCUUUAUGGAG